UUGACCUCGGAUCAGGUAGGGAUCCCGCUGAACUUAAGCAUAUC
RNAcentral lists this ribosomal RNA (44 nucleotides) under Stemphylium vesicarium. RNAcentral's name for it is "partial 28S ribosomal RNA". The record is from RNAcentral. Lineage: Eukaryota; Fungi; Ascomycota; Dothideomycetes; Pleosporales; Pleosporaceae.